CUUUUCUGGUUUCCUGCAGCUCAGCACAUACCUGCUGAAAGUUUGGAUUCCCCAGCUGUCUCUAUUCUUUUCACAACCAUAUAGUAUCGCACAAACAGGAUGCUUGCUAGACAGACUUCCAUCUUUUCACGAGAUAAACUUGGACUUAUGAAACAGGGUUACCACCCUGCAAGUAUAUCAAGCUCAUUCAUACCAUACAUCACAAAAAUUUCAGUGAUCAAGCAUGGGUAAAACAGUCAAUAACCUAUAUGCAUGGUAGAUCCAGCAAACUUCACCUUGAAUCACCUUCGCAAGGGCAUCUAUCAACAUCAACCAAACACGGUCUUUAGCUAUCAGUGAACCGCCUGGCAAAUCAUUAUAGGAAGUGUUUAUGAUCGGAUACCA
RNAcentral lists this long non-coding RNA (384 nucleotides) under Capsicum annuum. RNAcentral describes it as "long non-coding RNA (CANN_LNC008580)". Lineage: Eukaryota; Viridiplantae; Streptophyta; Magnoliopsida; Solanales; Solanaceae. The record is from RNAcentral.